AUGGCCCCCCGCGCCCCCCGCGCCCCCCGCGCCCCCCGCGCCCUGGCCCUGCUGCUGGCGAUCGGCGCCCUCGCAUCCGCGUGGCCCCCCCAAAACUCCAGCGCUGGCGAGGGGAGAGCCUGGGAGGGCUCGUUGGAGAGCAGCCCCCCGAAAUGGGACCUGGCGAGUGGAGACCCCCCGGGGGGACCCAGCAACAGCACGAGCGCCGGGGGGGCCGCGGCCGGACCCCAGCUAGAGCCCCCCGGGGCGGGCACGGCCACCACCGAGCCCUCGGCCGUGCCCGAGGGGUGCCCGGGCUGCACCGGCGAGGGCGAGGCCAGCGCUGUGCCCCCGCGGGCCGUGACCUGGCCCGGGGACGGGGGCCCGGUGCCGGUGGCCCUGGGCAGCCCCGAGGAGCCGGGCAGCGGUGAUCGGCCCACGCCGGCCUCCCCGCCCGGCCCGGGGGGUUUCGGGGGGCUGCCGGCCGCCCUGCCCAGCCCCCCCGGCCCCCAGCUCGCCACCGGCUCUGCCGAAUCCGACCUGCUGCUGGCGGCCGGGGGCUCGGCCGCGCCGCGGACCCCCGUGCUGGGCGAGCCCAGCCCCGUGCCCGCCGCCGGGGGGGACUCGGGGGCUGCCCCGGAGCUCUGGGCCGCCGCCUCCAGCCCGGCCCCGGCGCAGGGGGCCCGCGGCUGGACCGACCUGACGUGGCUGCAGGAGCCCAUCACCGCCGCCACGGGCCCGGCCAAGCCCCCGGCGGACCGGACGGGCUCGGACAUCAUCGACGUCGACUACUACGACCUGUUCGAGGGGGGCGAGGGACUGGGGGGCUUCCCCGGGGGCGGCCGGGGCGCGGCCGGCUCGGCGCGGCGGAGAGAGCCCGAGGGGGCGGCCACGCCCUGGGCCCUCCACGAGCUCUACGACGACUUCACGCCCUUCGACGACGCCGAUUUCUACCCCACCACCUCCUUCUACGCCGACGGGGACGACGAGGAAGAGCUGGAGGACGAGGAGGAAGACGAGGAGGAGGAAGACGGGGGGCUGGAGGACGAGAACGGCUACCGGCCGCCAGCCUCGGCCGUGCCCGGCGCCGCUCCGGCCCCGCAGGAGCCCCGGCCCACCGGGCACCGAGCCGCGGCCCCGCCGCCGCCGCCCGGGCUGCCCGGGGUGAGCCCCACGGCCUGGCCGCGCCCGGGGGAGCGGGGCCCGCCCGACAACGGCUCCGAGUGCCGGAGCGGGUACGUGCGGCACAACAGCUCCUGCCGCUCCCUCUGCGACCUCGUCCCCAGCUACUGCCACAACGGCGGCCAGUGCUACCUGGUGGAGAGCCACGGGGCCUUCUGCCGGUGCAACACGCAGGACUACACGUGGCACAAGGGCACACGCUGCGAGUCCAUCGUCACCGACUUCCAGGUGAUGUGCGUGGCCGUGGGCUCGGCCGCGCUCGUGGUGCUGCUGCUCUUCAUGCUCACCGUGUUCUUCGCCAAGAAGCUCUACCUGCUCAAGACGGAGAACAGCAAACUGCGCAAGACCAAAUACCGCACCCCGUCCGAGCUGCACAACGACAACUUCUCCCUCUCCACCAUCGCCGAGGGCUCCCACCCAAACAGAGAAGCGAAGGGCUUUGCGGAGCGCGAGCCGGAGGAGGAGCGUAGGUCCCUUUAGCCUUUCCCCACCCAUGGCCGCUGUUCCCCGUCUUCCGAGCGCCUUUAGCAGCCGUAGCCCUGGCCGGAGGCUCCGGGGCCGGCCCCUCCCCGCUGCCGACAGGAUGAACCUCGGGAUGAACUCGGUGCCGGGCUCUGACACGUCCCUCGUCCCCUCCGGAGCUGGAGGGUUCGGCACGCGGUGCCCGGGACGCAGCACUGCGAGGAUGAGGAGGGGUCAGCAGGGCCAACGCCCCUGGGUUUUUGGGGGUCCAGCAGCGGUGGAGCCGAUGCCGCCAGCUCCGGACCGGCCGGACGUCGCUGCCCAGGAGAUGGAGAAUCCUGUCCUUGUGUGACAGCGGCCCGACGAUCCCAGCGCUCCCCACAAGCUGCAGGACUCGCUGAAAUCCUGCCUGAAGGACGAGGAGCCCUUCAACAUCCACAACUCGACGUC
Catharus ustulatus (Swainson's thrush) is the source of this 2073-nucleotide RNA transcript. It is a transcript of the gene named chondroitin sulfate proteoglycan 5, with no coding region annotated. Lineage: Eukaryota; Metazoa; Chordata; Aves; Passeriformes; Turdidae. The record is from RefSeq and is a predicted model, not a curated record. The transcript has 6 exons.